This is a long non-coding RNA of Oncorhynchus masou masou (cherry salmon), 407 nucleotides long. RefSeq lists it as uncharacterized. The transcript has 4 exons. Lineage: Eukaryota; Metazoa; Chordata; Actinopteri; Salmoniformes; Salmonidae. The record is from RefSeq and is a predicted model, not a curated record.
ACCACAACACACACCACACCACACCACACCACACCACACCACACCACACCACACAUCCAUACAUCGCUGCUGUAGAAUAACUUCAUCAACCUGAGUUUCCUUCGACUGUUUCGAGCGGCUCGCUCUCGUCAAGCUACUGAGACAAGGAGAGACUAUACGCAUCCUGCUCUGGACUUUCGUCCAGUCAUUUAAGGCGCUGCCCUAUGUGUGCCUCCUCAUUGGCAUGCUGUUCUUUAUCUACGCCAUCAUUGGGAUGCAGUUGUUUGGUAAUCUUGCACUGGGCGAGGACGAAGGCAGUGCCAUCAACGAAAACAACAACUUCAGGACUUUCAUCAUGGCACUCAUGUUACUAUUCAGGAGUGCGACAGGUGAGGCGUGGCAUGACAUCAUGCUGUCGUGUCUGGGGG